GCUGGGAGCGUGGCGUCUCCUGUAAUCCGGCUACUCGGAGGCUAGCUACUGAGAAGGUUUUCCCGUUCGGGUCUGAACUUUCUUCGAAUUUUCACGUCGAUCAGGCGUCCGGGCUGAACUGGCCAUCGGCAUGGGUACCCCGGAGGAGUCCGGGGUGGUCCAGGUCAGCUAAGGAGAGGCGAACCGGGCCAGAGGGGUAACCAAACAGCCAAAAGUCUCCGUGGUUAGUAGCACUCGGAUCGCGCCAGGGAGUGGAAACUCGGUGAUCGUCCGAUCGGUGAAAAUCAACCUGUAGCUUU
RNAcentral lists this signal recognition particle RNA (299 nucleotides) under Athalia rosae (coleseed sawfly). Its description in RNAcentral is "misc RNA ENSAEAG00005011696.1". It matches the Rfam family "Metazoan signal recognition particle RNA". Rfam says of the family: The signal recognition particle (SRP) is a universally conserved ribonucleoprotein. It is involved in the co-translational targeting of proteins to membranes. The eukaryotic SRP consists of a 300-nucleotide 7S RNA and six proteins: SRPs 72, 68, 54, 19, 14, and 9. The record is from RNAcentral. Lineage: Eukaryota; Metazoa; Arthropoda; Insecta; Hymenoptera; Athaliidae.